UCUGGUGGUAGCAGCUGGAAGG
Molecule: microRNA, 22 nt
Filed under: Gallus gallus (chicken)
Lineage: Eukaryota; Metazoa; Chordata; Aves; Galliformes; Phasianidae
Description: gga-miR-6646-3p
Source: miRBase by way of RNAcentral